This 223-nucleotide ribosomal RNA is filed under the name uncultured bacterium. RNAcentral's name for it is "partial 16S ribosomal RNA". It matches the Rfam family "Bacterial small subunit ribosomal RNA", at positions 29 to 250 of the family's 1533-position model. The record is from RNAcentral.
AACGAGCGCUGGCGGCGUGCCUAACACAUGCAAGUCGGACGAGAAAGUUUCCUUCGGGAAGCGAGUAAAGUGGCGCACGGGUGAGUAACACGUAGACAACCUGCCUUCCAGUCCGGGACAACCUUUCGAAAGAAGGGCUAAUACCGGAUAACACUUUGGGCCGCAUGGCCUGGGGUUGAAAGACUUAUCGCUGGAAGAGGGGUCUGCGGGACAUUAGCUAGUU